Molecule: ribosomal RNA, 551 nt
Filed under: uncultured bacterium
Lineage: Bacteria
Description: bacterial SSU rRNA
Rfam family: Bacterial small subunit ribosomal RNA
Source: RNAcentral
CGCACAGUAAACGAUGAAUGCUGGUUCUUGGCGAUAUACAGUCAGGAACUGAGGGAAACCAUUAAGCAUUCCACCUGGGGAGUACGCCGGCAACGGUGAAACUCAAAGGAAUUGACGGGGGCCCGCACAAGCGGAGGAACAUGUGGUUUAAUUCGAUGAUACGCGAGGAACCUUACCCGGGCUUGAAUUGCAGCUGCAUGGGGCAGAGAUGUCCCUUCCCUUCGGGGCUGCUGUGAAGGUGCUGCAUGGUUGUCGUCAGCUCGUGCCGUGAGGUGUCGGCUUAAGUGCCAUAACGAGCGCAACCCUUGCUGUCAGUUGCCAUCAGGUAAUGCUGGGCACUCUGGCGGGACUGCCAUCGCAAGAUGUGAGGAAGGUGGGGAUGACGUCAAAUCAGCACGGCCCUUACGUCCGGGGCUACACACGUGUUACAAUGGGGAGUACAGCGAGCAGCUUGGUGGCGACACCUGGCCAAUCUUCAAAUCUCCUCUCAGUUCGGACUGGAGUCUGCAACCCGACUCCACGAAGCUGGAUUCGCUAGUAAUCGCGCAUCA